UUUUGUCCAAUUCCCCAAUUUAACUCCUUCUCUUUCUUCGUGUAUCAUCAGCCCCUCGUUUUGUUCAAUCAACCGCAGCGCCUUCCCACCUUCGGCCUCCCUACUCUGCCGACCACACGACGCCUCUUACGAGCCGCCAACGGCGGUGUAAGGCUGCCACGCCUGCCUCUUCAGCGUGCAGCGGCGCAUGCGAUCCACGACAAACGCGUGAGUUCCGGCCACAGUACUUUGCGAACAGUGACGCUUCUACCCAAGAGCCUGACUGGUGGCGGUUCCCGGCGACGCCUCCGAGUAUGAACGGCAGUUUCUUCUUCCUUAUUCCAACGACCACUCGGCAGCAGCAGCAAACCAACGUGACCCACGUGAUUUUGGCGGUUUACAGCGAGUUUUCCUCGUUCCGACAAGGUUUAAGCCUAUUCAAACACUAAUAGACUGCAAGGUGUCGGGUUGUUUUGCAGCAUUCAGUAGAUUUUCUGAAACCCUAUUUCAUCGCCACAUCUUGCCCUCUUCAUCUACUAGGGAGUUGAGGUUGCAAAUUUCCUUCAAGAUUGAACGCUCAAGAUUAGAUAUGCCUUUAGUUUCUAAAUGACUGAGAAUUUUCAAUUGGAGCAUUGGUGAGGAAAUUCCUUCUUUUGAUUCAAGUAACCAGAAAACUUGCAAGUUGUCAUAAUGGGCAAACCAGUCUCUCGGUCGGAUUCAAAAUCUAAAGCUGAACGCAAAUUUGAAAAGAAGGUCCAGUUUUAUGAGAGAGUUGGAGAAACUAUUUCUACCUUGAAUGCUCAAAAGACUAUUACUAAGAAGAAAAGCCAUCGAAGACGUAAAAGAGACUUGAAGGCUUUUGAUCUUUCUACCCUGUCCGAGUUUCUUCCUGGAUUGGAGGCGCCUAAACAAAAACCAUCUGCAGCCGAGUUAAAACUAAAUUGCAAGUCUAGGCUAAAGUUUAUAUUGAAGGAGAGAAAGCAAAUGGGUACUGUUCUUAAUCACCCUGUAUUUCAGGCAGACCCAUUGAGAGCUAUUCAACUACAUUUAGAGGGCACACAACCAAUUGAGGAACCAAAGAAAAAGACGAACAAAAAUGGGAGCAAGAAAAGGAAAGAGAAGAAGUCGAAAGCCUCUCCAAGACCUUCGUCUAUGGAGAUGUGACUAAUUUUUCACAGGCUUUGUUUUGCCAUCUAAGCCGCUUGCUGAUCUCAAUUGAGCUCUAAAGUCCUCCGAAUCGGAUCUGCUGAUCUCAAUUGAGCUCUAAAGUCCUCCGAAUCGGAUCUGGUAGAUUUUUUGUUUUUGAGCUUUGUUUUGCCAUCUAAGUCGCUUGGUAAAUGCUUUCAUGCUCAUUUUAAUUUGUGAAAUCAACUUGUUUUUGUUAUAAUUAACAGCUGAUCUCAAUUGAGCUCUAAAGUCCUCCGAAUUGGAUCUGUAGAUGAUUUUGUUUUUGAGCUUUGUUUUGCCAUCUAAGCCCUUGGUAAAUGCUUUCAUGCUCAUUUUAAUUUGUGAAAUCAACUUGUUUUUGUUAUCAUUAACAACUGAUCUCAAUUGAGCUCUAAAGUCCUCCGAAUCGGAUCUGGUAGAUGAUUUUUGUUUUUGAGCUUUGUUUUGCCAUCUAAGCCGCUUGGUAAAUGCUUUCAUGUCAUUUUAAUUUGUGAAAUCAACUUGUUUUUGUUAUCAUUAA
RNA transcript from Benincasa hispida (wax gourd), 1666 nucleotides. RefSeq lists it as uncharacterized. NCBI's taxonomy places the organism in Eukaryota, Viridiplantae, Streptophyta, Magnoliopsida, Cucurbitales, Cucurbitaceae. The record is from RefSeq and is a predicted model, not a curated record.